GACACCCACUUAACUUCGGAGUUAGUGGGACACCUUUCUUUUUGCUUAGUACGCUUUUCUGCUAUUCCUGCCGCAUAACUCUCUCUUCCCCAGGCUUUUCCCAUCUCCAUCCUAUUCUCUCGCAGGCAGGUUUUUCUUCCGCCUCUCUGGGGAUUUUCGCGUUGGUUCUCCCUGCCCCCAGGAGUGAGGCGGGUAACGCCCACGCCUACCUCCGGUGUGUGUUUUUGAAGUCGGAAAAAACUUAAUGGUUUCUGGGCCCUGGGCACCUUUCUGAUUCCCCAAGCAAACUGGCUGGAGGCGAAGGCGUGGUCUUCGGGGAGAGAGCGCCGGCGGCUCUCUGGCCCCGGGGACCACCUGUGUGCAGUUAGUGGGACGAAGGGCCUCGGGGAGUCCAUCGCCAAUGUCGGCAGCCGCAGCCGCUUCGGCCCCAUUCGGAAUGCCACAGCACUUGGUCCAGUGUGUUAUAUAACAUGCAGGCAGGGCUUGGACACCAUCCAUUCAUAACAUAGCGAGUGGUUUACAGCCCAGGUUCUGAAUUCAGACUAAUCUGAGUUGAGAUCUCCAUGCACCACUUAAACUUUCUGUAAGGCCUUAGGCAAGUAACUGAACCAACCCUCCAACAACCUGCGUCUCCUAUCUGUAGGACAAGACUAACAAUGGGACAGCUCUGUAGAAUUAUAUAAGUAUUAAGAAAAUACGUGGGAAACAAUUAGUGCAUUGCCUAGUGCCUGUUAGAAAGUGUGUGGCAAAUGCUGUAUGUAUCAGAUAGUAGCCAAUGUUGGACAAUGUUAUUUAUCAAUAGACAUUAUUGUACUUGUAUUGAUCGUUUACUAGGUGCUGGGGGAAAAGAUUACUUCCCAGAUGCAGUAUUUACAUCUCCUCCGCCCUACUCUUCCAACCCUGCCUGAAAUAAGUGUGGUUCUCCUGUCUGUCAGACUAUGAAGAGUUCUCAAAUAUGUCUUUCCCAGCGAGGGAGAGGAGAGUGAGUAUCCAGGAACUUUAAUGCGAUAGGACAUCAAUAUGAGUGUUUAUAGGGAAAGCCAGUGAUCCUAUUGUUAGACGCGAAAUCAAGACAUAUGAUCUGAUUUUUUGUUUUACUUUUUGUUUUUGAGGUAUAACAUUCAGUAAAGCGCACAAAUCAAAAGUGUCCAGAAUGAUAAUUUUUUACAUAUGCAUACCCAUGUAACUGCCAUCCAUAUCAAGAUGUGGAACCUUUCCAGCUCAUUCAUGCCCCUUCCCAUUCAGUAUCCGACAAGGAUUACCACUAUUUUAACCUCUAUCACCAUAGAUUAGUUUUACCAAUAUUUGAACUUGCUAUGGAUGAAAUACAUAACACGUACAAUUUUAUGUCUGGCUUCUCUUGCCCAACAGUGCGUCUAUGAGAUUCAUCCAUAUUGUUGUGUGUAACAAUGGUCCAUUCUUUUUCACUACUGUGUAUUACUUCAUUAUAUAAAUAUUCAACGAUUUGUGUACUCAUCCUACUGUUGGUGGACAUUUGAGUUGCUUCAUGUUUCUGCCUUUGAUGAAGCUGCUGCAGACAUUCUUACACAUGUCUUUUGGUGGACAUAGCAUUCAUUUAUGUUGGAUAUAUAUAUAUACCUAGGAUUGGAUUCCUGGUUCAUAGAGUGUUCACAUAUUAAACUUUAAAUACACUGCCAGUUUUUAAAUUCGUAUAACAAUUUAGGUUCCAACCAGUGAUAUGAGAUUUCCGGUUGUUUCACAUCUUUGCCAGUAUUGGUAUUUUCAGUCUUUUUAAUUUAAAAAGGGGGGGGAUAUGUAUUUCAUUGUGAUUUAAAAUUGCAUUUUUUGAUGAUCAAGGAUGUUGAGCAAUUUUUCAGAUGCUUAUUGUUCAUUUCAAUACCCUUUUAAUAAAGUGUCUGUUCAAGUCUUUCGCUCAUUUGUAGGGAGUUGUCUGUCCUAAUGACCUAUAAGAGUUCUUUACAUAUUCUGAAUAUGAGCCCUUUGUCCAAUAUAUGUAUAACAAAUAUCUUUUCCCAAUCUGUGUUGACUUUUAAUUAUUCUAAUGUUAUCUUUUGAUGAACAGAAGCACUUAAUUUUAAAGACAUUCAAAAUAUUAAUCUUAUCUCUUAUGACUAGUGUUUUGUAUGUCCUGUUUAAAAUAAUCCUAAGCCCAUAAAAAUAAUAUUCUUUGUUUUCUUCUAAGAACUUCAUUGUUUUAACUUUCACUAUCUGUAAUAAGGCCUUGGGCAAGUAACUCAACCAUCCUUCCAUAAACUUCCAACCACAAUAAAGUUAAUGCAAAUUAUUACAUUGGCCUUUCAACCAUUUCUACUCUUUCAGUGCCUCUUGGAAACCAUUAGUACAGUUAGUCUCAAGGUAGAACACAGGACAGAAAUUCUUAACCUAAAAUUUGACCCAGCAUGGUUUAGUUCCACCUUUUCCUGGGUGAAAUUUUAUUCAACUUCCUGAAUAAAAUUAGGCAAUUCUAUGGUAGGUGAGAGGUGAGAGCUAAGAGCAGAAAAGAAACUCACUAUAUAUGAGUUUCUCAAAUAUAUAUACAUGUAUAUAUAUAUUUUUUUCUUGGGCCCCUUUGUAUUCCUGAUGCAUUAAUGGACUUUUCUAGAAUUGUGUUUCAGGGUUGUUUUUUUUUUUUUUUUUUUAAAUACACUGUGUUCUUUCUGCCUCAUAAAACUGGCAUCCUGGAGCUGGCAGGAGUCUUAGAAAGUGGCCAAGUUCUGCCCGUUGGACACGGAACCAGAUAUUCAAACUCUUCUUCCUAGAUUAUUGGUGCCUUCUUCUUGCCAAAUUCCAGCCCCUGCUGAGCACAUCCAAUCAGAAUGGUUUAAAGACCUUCUUUGCAUUCUGAAUGAUUCACUGGAUUCACUGAUUUAUACCUAGGGAAACCGAGGGACAAAACAGUCU
RNAcentral lists this long non-coding RNA (2883 nucleotides) under Homo sapiens (human). Its description in RNAcentral is "non-protein coding lnc-GDAP2-1:15". The record is from RNAcentral. Lineage: Eukaryota; Metazoa; Chordata; Mammalia; Primates; Hominidae.